RNAcentral lists this transfer RNA (74 nucleotides) under Microcaldota archaeon. Its description in RNAcentral is "tRNA-Asn". It matches the Rfam family "tRNA". Rfam says of the family: Transfer RNA (tRNA) molecules are approximately 80 nucleotides in length. Their secondary structure includes four short double-helical elements and three loops (D, anti-codon, and T loops). Lineage: Archaea; Nanobdellati; Microcaldota. The record is from RNAcentral.
GCCCUGGUAGCUCAGCCGGCUAGAGCAUCUGACUGUUAAUCAGAGGGUCGCAGGUUCGAAUCCUGCCCAGGGCG